CAAAAGCAUCCAUCAACAUGAAGACCUUGGCAACCGUAUUUUUUUUGAUGACCAUACAAAUUAACCUUACCACAAUACAUUCACUGCCGACAUUGCUAUUCCAAAUCGAAAACUAUGACAUGCCAGAAGUUUGCAAAGAUGCCACAUACUGCUUUGAAAAAGGCCCUCUGUAUCCGAGCCAAAGACUUGAAAAUUUAACAAACAUUAUCAAUGAGUUGGUAAGUAUUAACCUACUUAACCUAGUAUAAGGUCUCGUUUAGACGGUGCAAAAAUGAUUUUUGUCAUUAUUUGAAUAAUAACAAAUUGGCAAAGAUGAACUGCUUUGAAUUUGAGGACUUGUGACGAAUUAUUUAAACAUAGUUGUGACGU
This is a long non-coding RNA of Trichoplusia ni (cabbage looper), 369 nucleotides long. RefSeq lists it as uncharacterized. The record is from RefSeq and is a predicted model, not a curated record. NCBI's taxonomy places the organism in Eukaryota, Metazoa, Arthropoda, Insecta, Lepidoptera, Noctuidae. The transcript is spliced from 3 exons.